Long non-coding RNA from Paramisgurnus dabryanus, 331 nucleotides. RefSeq lists it as uncharacterized. Lineage: Eukaryota; Metazoa; Chordata; Actinopteri; Cypriniformes; Cobitidae. The record is from RefSeq and is a predicted model, not a curated record.
AAUCUUUUGAUAAUAUUGCCCAAUGCAACAAAUGGAAAAAGCAUGCUUUAUGACAACCUCAGCAGCAGAACCCAUGACUUUCUCCUGGGUAGACGAGACAAAAAAGUUUGGUAUCAACACCCAUCUAACAAUUAAGAAAGUUAUCUGCAGCCACACAUCCACUGUAUACCAAGUUAUGAUGAACAAUUAUGAAAAUGCAAAAGGAUUGAUAGAUCAGUAAACAAGCAACAAAAAGAUGGGUGCUCAUGGUGGCCUCCAAAUAAAUACAUGGACAGGCUGCUAAAGAGGGUCAGGAUGAUGGAGAUGCAAGAGCCAAAGACAGCACAGAUCA